AUUUGAAUAAAUCAUUUCCGUUAUCGCUCGCUGUAACCAGGAAAGUCUAAAUUGAGUUAGUGCAUAGCGCUUCUGCCUGCGGGAUCCAGACACACCUUUAAGAUGGUCAGGUACCCCACAUCUAGGCUUCUUCAUCCAACUAGAGAAGAGAAGAACGGAUUCAUAUCACAGAGCCUGCCAGAUCAAGCUCCAUUCCUGCUUGGUGUCCGACAGUGAUGACGACUAACUGCAGCCUGUGCCAGCCAGAUACACUACAGUCUACGACGAUGGACUUCACAGAGGAUGAUCUAAUGCCAACUCCAACCGUAAGACAUGGGAUACUGCCUGAACCUUGGAUUUAGGAUGGACCUCACCAAAAUGACCUGCCAGUUGAACUGCGAUGCACCUCACUGAUCUCUGCCUGCAUCACCUUGGUCAAAUGAUGGAUUACACUCUUAGAAUUUAAUACAUAGACAAUCAAUUUUCAGACAUUUUCAUAAUCAAUCGUCAUGGAAAUGAAUGAUCAAUUAAUUGAUUAAUCAUUAAUGUUAAUAUCGUAAAACGUACGUGGAGGACUACAAAUAAUAUGUGUAUAUAGCCUACUGUUUAAAUAUAAUUUAGAUUAAUACACUUAAGAAAUGCAAGCACUGGCAUUUUCCUCUUAAAAUAUUCUUCGUUCAGUGUAUUUUAAUACAUUUAGGCUAUGAUUAGUAUGAAUUUGUGAAUGAUUUAAUUACUGUUAAUGAAUUACUGUUAAAAUAACUUCUAUCUUAAGAUAAUUAAGAUAUAUAACUUUUAUACCUACUUGAGUUCAUUAAAACUUCACUUUGUGGUUCCUGGUAUAUUCUGGACCUUUGGACUUAUUUCUUUAUUAGAAAUGAAGUCAAAUCAUAACACGCUGCAUUAACACAGUACAUAACAUAGGCUACAGCUUCUCUGGCGACUGUGAGAUAUCAUCUGAAUGGGUCUUCGUGCUUUCCCGGCGAUCGCUGAAAUAAUUGUAGGUUGGAAUGAAACAAGGAGAUCAUCAGUGCUUGUUGUCAUGUUGUACUUUAAUACUAGCCAGAGGGGAACU
This is a long non-coding RNA of Myxocyprinus asiaticus (Chinese sucker), 1054 nucleotides long. RefSeq lists it as uncharacterized. NCBI's taxonomy places the organism in Eukaryota, Metazoa, Chordata, Actinopteri, Cypriniformes, Catostomidae. The record is from RefSeq and is a predicted model, not a curated record. The transcript has 3 exons.